GAUCCUGGCUCAGGAUGAACGCUAGCGGCAGGCUUAACACAUGCAAGUCGAGGGGUAUAGUAGCAAUACUAGAGACCGGCGCACGGGUGCGUAACGCGUAUGCAACCUACCUUUUACAGAGGGAUAGCCCAGAGAAAUUUGGAUUAAUACCUCAUAGUGUUAUUAGAUGGCAUCAUUUGAUAACUAAAGUUCCAACGGUAAAAGAUGGGCAUGCGUCCUAUUAGCUAGAUGGUAAGGUAACGGCUUACCAUGGCUACGAUAGGUAGGGGGUCCUGAGAGGGAGAUCCCCCCACACUGGUACUGAGACACGGACCAGACUCCUACGGGAGGCAGCAGUGAGGAAUAUUGGACAAUGGGCGCAAGCCUGAUCCAGCCAUGCCGCGUGCAGGAAGAAGCAUCUAUGGUGUGUAAACUGCUUUUGUACGGGAAGAAACACUCCUACGUGUAGGAGCUUGACGGUACCGUAAGAAUAAGGAUCGGCUAACUCCGUG
This 491-nucleotide ribosomal RNA is filed under the name uncultured bacterium. Its description in RNAcentral is "bacterial SSU rRNA". It matches the Rfam family "Bacterial small subunit ribosomal RNA", at positions 15 to 507 of the family's 1533-position model. The record is from RNAcentral.